UACAGAGGGUGCAAGCGUUAAUCGGAAUUACUGGGCGUAAAGCGCGCGUAGGUGGUUCAGUAAGUUGGAAGUGAAAUCCCCGGGCUCAACCUGGGAACUGCUUUCAAAACUGCUGAGCUAGAGUACGGUAGAGGGUAGUGGAAUUUCCUGUGUAGCGGUGAAAUGCGUAGAUAUAGGAAGGAACACCAGUGGCGAAGGCGACUACCUGGACUGAUACUGACACUGAGGUGCGAAAGCGUGGGGAGCAAACAGG
RNAcentral lists this ribosomal RNA (253 nucleotides) under uncultured bacterium. RNAcentral describes it as "partial 16S ribosomal RNA". It matches the Rfam family "Bacterial small subunit ribosomal RNA", at positions 524 to 776 of the family's 1533-position model. The record is from RNAcentral.